RNAcentral lists this ribosomal RNA (460 nucleotides) under uncultured bacterium. RNAcentral describes it as "partial 16S ribosomal RNA". It matches the Rfam family "Bacterial small subunit ribosomal RNA", at positions 338 to 795 of the family's 1533-position model. The record is from RNAcentral.
CCUACGGGAGACAGCAGUGAGGAAUAUUGGUCAAUGGGCGCGAGCCUGAACCAGCCAAGUAGCGUGAAGGAUGACUGCCCUAUGGGUUGUAAACUUCUUUUAUAAAGGAAUAAAGUGAGGAACGUGUGCCUUUUUGUAUGUACUUUAUGAAUAAGCAUCGGCUAACUCCGUGCCAGCAGCCGCGGUAAUACGGAGGAUCCGAGCGUUAUCCGGAUUUAUUGGGUUUAAAGGGAGCGUAGGUGGUUUGUUAAGUCAGUUGUGAAAGUUUGCGGCGCAACCGUAAAAUUGCAAUUGAUACUGGCAGCCUUGAGUACAGUUGAGGUAGGCGGAAUGCGUGGUGUAGCGGUGAAAUGCUUAGAUAUCACGAAGAACUCCGAUUGCGAAGGCAGCUUACUAAACUGCCACUGACAUUGAUGCUCGAAAGUGUGGGUAUCAAACAGGAUUAGAUACCCGAGUAGUC